RNAcentral lists this ribosomal RNA (544 nucleotides) under Candida albicans. RNAcentral's name for it is "LSU rRNA". It matches the Rfam family "Eukaryotic large subunit ribosomal RNA", at positions 99 to 658 of the family's 3401-position model. Lineage: Eukaryota; Fungi; Ascomycota; Pichiomycetes; Serinales; Debaryomycetaceae. The record is from RNAcentral.
CGGCAAAAGCUCAAAUUUGAAAUCUGGCGUCUUUGGCGUCCGAGUUGUAAUUUGAAGAAGGUAUCUUUGGGCCCGGCUCUUGUCUAUGUUCCUUGGAACAGGACGUCACAGAGGGUGAGAAUCCCGUGCGAUGAGAUGACCCGGGUCUGUGUAAAGUUCCUUCGACGAGUCGAGUUGUUUGGGAAUGCAGCUCUAAGUGGGUGGUAAAUUCCAUCUAAAGCUAAAUAUUGGCGAGAGACCGAUAGCGAACAAGUACAGUGAUGGAAAGAUGAAAAGAACUUUGAAAAGAGAGUGAAAAAGUACGUGAAAUUGUUGAAAGGGAAGGGCUUGAGAUCAGACUUGGUAUUUUGCAUGCUGCUCUCUCGGGGGCGGCCGCUGCGGUUUACCGGGCCAGCAUCGGUUUGGAGCGGCAGGAUAAUGGCGGAGGAAUGUGGCACGGCUUCUGCUGUGUGUUAUAGCCUCUGACGAUACUGCCAGCCUAGACCGAGGACUGCGGUUUUUACCUAGGAUGUUGGCAUAAUGAUCUUAAGUCGCCCGUCUUGAA